GAUUCAAGCCCUAAGCCGAAGGGCUUUUCAUACAACAUCAAGCAACAAUGUUCUGAAUUUCCAUGAAACCGAGCAGCACACCAAUUUGUCUUGCCUGAUACCAAAUUGAAAGACCAAAACUAUUCAAGGUUUGGAAACAUUUUUAUCAAGAAUUUAGGCAGGGCUAUUAACCUCAAAGCAUUGCAUGAUGAUUUCUCUGCAUUUACGAGCAUCCUAUCUUGAAAGCUUGUAGAGUCAUCUGGGAUGUUGCAGAAGCUUCCAAACUUUGACGGAUCUUGACCCAUCUCCGCCGAAUCUUACAGAAGCGACUUCGGAUGGAAGUUCCGACGACGAGAAUGUGUCAGUCGGCGUUCUGCGUAUCUGCGGGGAGGUGAAGAUAGCGGAAUCUGUUGAAUUUCUUUCCGUAUUGUGAUCCGGGUAGUGAUUUGACCUGAAUGGAUCUUGGCUUCUAGGCCACUCCAGGCGACCGGACUUGUACCGAUGCAGUCGCUUGGAGGUCUUCUGUGGAUUGGCGGUCUCUUGUUUCACAAUUUUUUUUAAACAUAGAUGUUACACAGGUGGAGGGCGCAUAUUUUGAAAACCAAUUUGGCGAUCUCUGCACAUAUUGAAGGGAAAACCAAUCUGACGAAUGUCUUUGAUGAAUGUAUGCAGUUCAUCCGAUUGUUUUAGAGCUUGGCAAACCUUCUUAUAUGAUUUCAGCAGUAAUCUGCGCUGCCAUCUACUUCACCAUAGGCAUUAUCGGGUACCUUUUGUUUGGAGAAUCA
This 764-nucleotide unclassified non-coding RNA is filed under the name Hevea brasiliensis (rubber tree). Lineage: Eukaryota; Viridiplantae; Streptophyta; Magnoliopsida; Malpighiales; Euphorbiaceae. The record is from RNAcentral.